RNAcentral lists this ribosomal RNA (274 nucleotides) under uncultured bacterium. Its description in RNAcentral is "partial 16S ribosomal RNA". It matches the Rfam family "Bacterial small subunit ribosomal RNA", at positions 523 to 796 of the family's 1533-position model. The record is from RNAcentral.
AUACGUAGGGUGCGAGCGUUAAUCGGAAUUACUGGGCGUAAAGCGCGCGUAGGCGGCUAGAUCAGUCGGAUGUGAAAGCCCUGGGCUUAACCUGGGAACUGCAUUCGAUACUGUCUAGCUAGAGUAUGGUAGAGGGAAGCGGAAUUCCGGGUGUAGCGGUGAAAUGCGUAGAUAUCCGGAGGAACACCAGUGGCGAAGGCGGCUUCCUGGACCAAUACUGACGCUGAGGUGCGAAAGCGUGGGGAGCAAACAGGAUUAGAUACCCCAGUAGUCC